Molecule: ribosomal RNA, 253 nt
Filed under: uncultured bacterium
Lineage: Bacteria
Description: partial 16S ribosomal RNA
Rfam family: Bacterial small subunit ribosomal RNA
Source: RNAcentral
UACAGAGGGCUCAAGCGUUGUUCGGAUUCAUUGGGCGUAAAGGGCGCGUAGGUGGCGCGCUAAGUCGGGUGUGAAAUUUCGGAGCUUAACUCCGAAACUGCAUUCGAUACUGGCGUGCUUGAGGACUGGAGAGGAGACUGGAAUUCAUGGUGUAGCAGUGAAAUGCGUAGAGAUCAUGAGGAAGACCAGUGGCGAAGGCGGGUCUCUGGACAGUUCCUGACACUGAGGCACGAAGGCCAGGGGAGCAAACGGG